RNAcentral lists this long non-coding RNA (970 nucleotides) under Laticauda laticaudata (blue-ringed sea krait). Its description in RNAcentral is "lncRNA (ENSLLTG00000013843.1)". The record is from RNAcentral. Lineage: Eukaryota; Metazoa; Chordata; Lepidosauria; Squamata; Elapidae.
AAAAGUCCAAAAACAAUGGCAAGCCAAUCCUUUAUUUUGUACACAAAUUUAUUCACCCCUUUUCUGUCUCGCUCGUCCCACCCAAGUGAGUCUGUUGCCUACAACGUUGCCAAGAAAACUGCAGGGACAGGUGGUCAAACGGGCGAAAUGUAAGUCUUCGGCUUCAGCGUACUUCACUAAUGAGAAACAAUGCUGUUGAAAACAAAUGAACGGUGACUCGUAAAACUAUCUAGCAGUGUCCCCCCACCUCCUUUUUCUAACUGUUAUUUUUUUGUUCCGCCCGGGAUUCUUACAGCGUCUCGCCCUCCCCGCCGGGAACGAAGGAAAGGAGGAACGGGGGCGGAGUAGCCUGCCCUGUUAUCCUAUCGAGACGCGGGAGCUUGCAGUGGAGUUAAAGCGACCCCUGGGCUGUGGCAGCCGGCAGCUAUCACGCUUUCGGAGAGCGCCAUCCUCACCGUUGCAACCAUCCCUCUCUUUCCCCCCCGUACCUCGGCGUUGUAAUGUAAGGUGGAGCCGCGAUUUCCUCGGCGCGCCUAGAAAUGAACUUCCAAGAGCCAUCGGCGUACUCGGAAAGCAGGGAGGGCUUGUUGGCCUCGGGGAUCGGCUGGUCUCUGGUCCUGUGCUUCGGAGCCGCGUAUGUCUGCUAUUAUCUCAGGACGAUCGCAAAGGUGCCUCGGUAGUUGCGCAGGACACACCGCAGAGGAACCCGGCGCCAGCUUCUGGAAAGGGAAGGGCAAACGGACUCACAUGCAGAAAAUCUAGAAUAAAGACUGAAAUCAAUGGCAUGCAUUGUCCUCUCCUACUACGAGUCUUGAUCUGGAUGAUCCUGCCUAUAACAGCAGCCAAUUAAAUAUUUCCAAGUAGUCCCUGAAGAAGGCAUUAAGAUCAUAUCGCUCAUCUAUAAGUGACUGUGACCUGAGUCUACAAGGUAUAUAUGACAAUUAUGAUUGGUAGCUCAUAAUAGUUGGUC